This is a long non-coding RNA of Phyllostomus discolor (pale spear-nosed bat), 1170 nucleotides long. RefSeq lists it as uncharacterized. NCBI's taxonomy places the organism in Eukaryota, Metazoa, Chordata, Mammalia, Chiroptera, Phyllostomidae. The transcript is spliced from 2 exons. The record is from RefSeq and is a predicted model, not a curated record.
GUUGUGACAACAGCAUGAAAAUCUUUGUUUUAAAAAGUAACUUAAGUAAUAACUAUAUCUCCUAAGAGACAUAGAGAAAGAGUGAACCACACAUAUGUGGGUGAAAGCUACCCUGGAGUCAUUUUAAAUGACUUUAUCCAAAAGCGCUGCCUAAAAGGCAAUAGGAUCCCAACAGAGAGAGUCUGCGAGAUGGUCUCCUGAGACCUAAGUCCUAGUCAGGUGCUGGUGAGAGAUGCCUAUCAGUUAAUGGGGAGAGGAGUAAAUGGUCUGAAGAACCGUCCAAGGAACCGAAACUCCCUUCAAGGAAAAAGCAAGAGUCAGCUAUGACACUUGCAAAACCAGAGAGCAAUAAUGGCAGCUCACAAAAUACCAGCAUGCGGGAGAUUUCCUGUGCCCUCAGCUCUUCUCCCUUCACCAUCUUGAAUCCCAGUAUGGCCAGAAACAGUACAAGUUAGGAACUGAGGAGAGGAUGAAAGAUAAAUUGGGAAAACAAAGGAGUAUCUAUCCAAGCUGUACUUUAUACUACAAGCCUGCCUUCUGUUGCAUAGCUGAUUAGCCUAUAGCACAACUGAAGAGGGAGACACCAUUUUGCCUCCAUGAUUUGACAAGCAUGAAGAUAAAAGCUUCACUGUGAGGAUGAUGGAGCAAAAUCAUAGAAGGGGGCCUAGAUUCCCUUCCUUCAGACUUAUUGUUAUGUGAGAAAAAUAAAAUUCUGUUAUAAGGUUAAACAACAAAGAUAGGUUUCUACUUCAUGUACCUAAAUAUAUCACAAUUCACACAAUAUACAUAAAAGUGGUAAAAGCAUUAUAUGAGAAAUUCAUGAUACCCAACACAAUCAAAUAGCAGAAAAAUUACGGUUCUUUAAUUCAUUAUGAUUUUGAGUUGAUCUUUCACAGUCUUUUAGUUAUCAAACCAUUAAAUACAUUUGCACAUUCAAAUUUUGUGAAUAAUGUAGAUGAAUCCUAUUAAUUUCCAGUGUAUAUAUGAUUGUGUGUGUGUACAGACAUAUGUGUGUACAUAUACUUCAGGAGCCUAAAGGAAUGAUUAUUUCUUUCCAGGACACUCAGUGGUAGUUACCUCAACUCUUCCUUAAAUUUCUCCAUCCAAGUUCCAUUUCCCAAGGGAAUAGAUCCUACUAUAUCCCAAUAAAAGUGAUUUAAUUAUUAUUUA